ACGUAGGUGGCGAGCGUUAUCCGGAAUUAUUGGGCGUAAAGGGUGCGUAGGCGGCCUUUUAAGUUUGUGGUGAAAGCGUGGGGCUCAACCCCAUAUAGCCAUAGAUACUGGGAGGCUAGAGUACUGGAGAGGGUAGUGGAAUUCCAUGUGUAGCGGUAAAAUGCGUAGAUAUAUGGAGGAACACCGGUGGCGAAGGCGGCUACCUAGCCAGAGACUGACGCUGAGGCACGAAAGCGUGGGGAGCAAAUAG
This 250-nucleotide ribosomal RNA is filed under the name uncultured bacterium. RNAcentral's name for it is "partial 16S ribosomal RNA". It matches the Rfam family "Bacterial small subunit ribosomal RNA", at positions 525 to 775 of the family's 1533-position model. The record is from RNAcentral.